GCUGAGAUCGUCAGCGCAAUAGAUAUUUUGAGAAAGAGACAGAGUGAGACAAUGUUCACAUCAUUUUUGUUACAAUACAUUGUUAUGUGUUGUAUUUUAUCAUUGUUCUUUUUUUUGUCAAAAUCUCCCUGUGCCUAAUUUAUAAAUAAGCUUUGUCGUAGGCAUAAGCAGAAACUAUAGACACGGACUUGUGGGCUCCAGCUGUGUACCGGGGCUCUUGAAACACAAACCCUCAAGGAUAAUGGUGACCUCUGAACUAGGAGAGAGGGUUCCUGACUGGGUGCUGAGGAUCCAUUGAGAGAAUUCUCUCCCUUCCAAGAUUCCAAUGACAAAACAAACACAGUUCCAUCACUUUCCACCCUGGGGAACCGUGGCUGUCUCACACUGAUAGUCCUCAAUGCUGGAUGUUGGAAGUUCCAAUUUGGUGCUAAAGGCCUGGAGGAUUCUUGGAGAACUGCUGAUCUUCAAUCUACCUUGGAAGGCUGAAGAAGUUGUUUCUAACUUCAGCGAAGAGCCUGCCAGUGAGAGCGAGGGCAGCCAGCAAGCAGUGAAAGUUUCCUUCUCCAACGUCCUUUUAUGUGGGCCGCCACCAGAAGGUGCUGCCCACGUGUAGGGUGGGUCUUCCUGCUUCAAGUAAUCUGAUCAAGAAAAUCCCUCACAGGAGUGCCCAGCAGCUUGUGCUUCGGUUGAAUCUAGAUCAAGUUACAUUGAUAACCAAGAUUAGUCAUCACAGCCAGGCAGCUCCUGCACAGGGCUUCCCAGCAUCAUGUUGCUCAUUGUACGGUUUGGCAGGACCUAUUGAGUAAGGCUGGCAGAGAACCCUGGGAGCAAUGGCUCCUUCCGAAUUCCUCAAUUUUUCAUUUUAUCAACACAUAACUGUGAGCACUUACAGGGUGCCAUAGGAAACUUUCAUAUCUGGGGCCAAGAAAGAUCAAAAGGGAUGAUUGCA
This is a long non-coding RNA of Mastomys coucha (southern multimammate mouse), 949 nucleotides long. RefSeq lists it as uncharacterized. The transcript has 2 exons. NCBI's taxonomy places the organism in Eukaryota, Metazoa, Chordata, Mammalia, Rodentia, Muridae. The record is from RefSeq and is a predicted model, not a curated record.